AACGCACGAGACCUGCGGACCUGCGGAGGGAUCAUUAAUGAGAAGCUGCCCCUCGUGGGUAGACCUCCCACCCUCUGUGAACUUACCUUUGUUGCUUUGGCAGGCCCGUCCUCUGGACCGCCGGCUUCGGCUGGCCCGUGCCUGCCAGAGGAUUCCAAACCCUGUCCGUCAGUGUUGUCUGAGUCUAUAUGAAAUCGUUAAAACUUUCAGCAACGGAUCUCUAGAUCGGAAGAGCACACG
This 240-nucleotide unclassified non-coding RNA is filed under the name soil metagenome. Its description in RNAcentral is "partial contains 5.8S ribosomal RNA, internal transcribed spacer 2, and large subunit ribosomal RNA". The record is from RNAcentral.